AUUGAACGCUGGCGGCAGGCCUAACACAUGCAAGUCGAGCGGUAGCACAGGAGAGCUUGCUCUCCGGGUGACGAGCGGCGGACGGGUGAGUAAUGUAUGGGGAUCUGCCCGAUAGAGGGGGAUAACUACUGGAAACGGUAGCUAAUACCGCAUGAUGUCGCAAGACCAAAGAGGGGGACCUUCGGGCCUCUUGCCAUCAGAUGUGCCCAGAUGGGAUUAGCUAGUAGGUGGGGUAACGGCUCACCUAGGCGACGAUCCCUAGCUGGUCUGAGAGGAUGAC
Molecule: ribosomal RNA, 280 nt
Filed under: uncultured bacterium
Lineage: Bacteria
Description: partial 16S ribosomal RNA
Rfam family: Bacterial small subunit ribosomal RNA
Source: RNAcentral